This 126-nucleotide non-coding RNA is filed under the name Halomonas sp. RNAcentral's name for it is "TPP sequence". It matches the Rfam family "TPP riboswitch aptamer (THI element)". From Rfam's summary of the family: Vitamin B(1) in its active form thiamin pyrophosphate (TPP) is an essential coenzyme that is synthesised by coupling of pyrimidine and thiazole moieties in bacteria. The previously detected thiamin-regulatory element, thi box was extended, resulting in a new, highly conserved RNA secondary structure, the THI element, which is widely distributed in eubacteria and also occurs in some archaea. Lineage: Bacteria; Pseudomonadati; Pseudomonadota; Gammaproteobacteria; Oceanospirillales; Halomonadaceae. The record is from RNAcentral.
AUUCGCUUGACGGGGUGCCGGUGAGAUCCGGCUGAGAUGGCACAGGGGUCUCCCGAAGACCCAAGCGCCGAUCCCGUUGAACCUGAUCCGGUUAGUACCGGCGUAGGAAUCAAGCGGUGGUCUCCC